CCUACGGGCGGCAGCAGUGAGGAAUAUUGGUCAAUGGGCGCGAGCCUGAACCAGCCAAGUCGCGUGAGGGAGGACGGCCCUACGGGUUGUAAACCUCUUUUGCCGGGGAGCAACGGGCGUCACGUGUGGCGCCACUGAGAGUACCCGGAGAACAAGCAUCGGCUAACUCCGUGCCAGCAGCCGCGGUAAUACGGAGGAUGCGAGCGUUAUCCGGAUGUAUUGGGUUUAAAGGGUGCGUAGGCGGAUCGUUAAGUCAGUGUGAAAAUUUAGGGGCUCAACCCCUUCCCGACAUUGAAACUGGAGCUCUUGAGUGGAAGAGAAGUAUGCGGAAUGCGGGGUGUAGCGGUGAAAUGCAUAGAUAGCACGCAGAACCCCGAUUGCGAAGGCAGCAUGCCGGCUUCCGACUGACGCUGAAGCACGAAAGCGUGGGGAUCGAACAGGAUUAGAUACCCCAGUAGUC
This 460-nucleotide ribosomal RNA is filed under the name uncultured bacterium. RNAcentral's name for it is "partial 16S ribosomal RNA". It matches the Rfam family "Bacterial small subunit ribosomal RNA", at positions 338 to 795 of the family's 1533-position model. The record is from RNAcentral.